ACCGGGGUCCUAACUGGCCAACUCAACACAUCAGAUUCACAACUUUAUUGCUCUGCGUCUAUAAAAACCAAAACGAUGCUCUCUAGGGAGGGCCCAGACCAGGCUAGUCGUCCUUCUCCUAGUGGUGAGCUCUCUAGGAGGCUGGAGGUCCCAGACCAGGCUAGUCGUCCUCCUAGUGGUGAGCUCUCUAGGAGGCUGGAGGUCCCAGACCAGGCUAGUCGUCGGUCUCCUUCUCCUCCUCCUCUCCUCCCUGGUAGUGUCUGUACUCGGGCUUCAGCUCCCACGUGUUCUUGUGGGUUCCCUUCACGUUGUAGAUGCC
This is a long non-coding RNA of Oncorhynchus keta (chum salmon), 319 nucleotides long. RefSeq lists it as uncharacterized. The transcript is spliced from 2 exons. The record is from RefSeq and is a predicted model, not a curated record. NCBI's taxonomy places the organism in Eukaryota, Metazoa, Chordata, Actinopteri, Salmoniformes, Salmonidae.